AAAUAAGCCGGGAGGAAAGAACUAACUAGGAUUCCCUCAGUAGCUGCGAGCGAACAGGGAGAAGCCCAGCACCGAAUCCCGCGGCCGAUACCGGGCGCCGGGAAAUGUGGUGUUAGGGAGGAUCCGUCUAUCCCGAGGUCGUGCGGUGCGUCCAAGUCCUUCUUGAACGGGGCCACAGCCCAUAGAGGGUGCCAGGCCCGUAGCGACCGCUGCCGAUCGCGGGAGGAUCUCUCCUCAGAGUCGGGUUGCUUGAGAGUGCAGCCCUAAGUGGGUGGUAAACUCCAUCUAAGGCUAAAUAUGACCACGAGACCGAUAGCGAACAAGUACCGUGAGGGAAAGUUGAAAAGCACUUUGAAGAGAGAGUUCAAGAGUACGUGAAACCGUUCAGGGGUAAACCUGAGAAACCCGAAAGGUCGAAAGGGGAAAUUCAUUCGCGUUUCGGCCGCCGGCGUUAGAUGGUCGAGUGACGGACGGCGUACGCGUCGUCCGCGCCUUCCGUCUUUCGAACCGGCGUCGAACGCGUGCACUUUUCCCCUAGUAGGACGUCGCGAUCCGUUGGGUGUCGGUCUAAGACCUGCGGUGGAGCCCGGGCGGACGUUUCGGCGUUCCGUCUGGACCCGUGGUGUUCCGGCCGACUCGCUCGACGGUAUACAGAUGGCGCGGGGCCGCUACCAACUUAGUUAGCGUUCGGCCCGCGGCAAGCGCGUUCGGCGUUUGACGGCGAUCGGACCUCGUUCCGGUCCUGUCCCCGAACGACUGUUGG
This 763-nucleotide ribosomal RNA is filed under the name Prionus asiaticus. RNAcentral describes it as "eukaryotic LSU rRNA". It matches the Rfam family "Eukaryotic large subunit ribosomal RNA", at positions 44 to 613 of the family's 3401-position model. The record is from RNAcentral. Lineage: Eukaryota; Metazoa; Arthropoda; Insecta; Coleoptera; Cerambycidae.